This is an RNA transcript of Elaeis guineensis (African oil palm), 1653 nucleotides long. RefSeq lists it as uncharacterized. NCBI's taxonomy places the organism in Eukaryota, Viridiplantae, Streptophyta, Magnoliopsida, Arecales, Arecaceae. The record is from RefSeq and is a predicted model, not a curated record.
UUUUGGGGGAUUUUAUCAUUCCGAUUUCCGUCCCGAUCGUUUCCGACUCGGAUUCCGAACGCGGACCAAGCACCUCCUGGAUACCUGCCGAUCCCGGGAGCGCUCCGAACAGUUCGACGCGAAUGGCCUCUUCCGCCUUCUCUCCUUCUCCCUCUUUUCUUCCCUCCCUCUCUUCUCCCCGUCCUCACUGGCAUCCUGACUCUUGUCUUUCCUCCCUCUUUCGCCUGUCUUCACCCAAUCCAUCCCCUUGGCACCGGAGAUAUCUUGCCAUCGUCUCCUCUUCCACCACCAACGCCAGGGAGGCUUACGCAAGCAAAGAGACGAGGAAGAAGAUACUGGAAAGCUACGGCCUCGACCCGUCUGACUUCAUCUCGGAGCCCUCUCGAAGGUCGAGGAGGAAGAGGAGGGAUGCUGAUAAAGCAGGGAAGGGGCAGCAGGUUUAUCAGCCACCAGAGGUGUCGAAGCCUCCUCGUGCCACCCAUAAAUUACUGCAGGUGCUAGGGGGAAAAGCUCGCAGGAAAAAACUACUUUCUCCAAAAGGUAUGGACGUACGCCCAAUGAUGGAAGUUGUAAGAGGAGCAGCCUUUGAUAUUUUACAGGUAGCUGGUGGUUGUCCUGCUUCAUUAAAGCCAGGGCGCUGGUUAGACUUGUAUAGUGGCACUGGCUCUGUUGGAAUUGAAGCUAUAAGCCGGGGAUGUUCAGAGGUGCACUUUGUUGAGAUGGAUCCUUGGGUUGUUUCUGAAGUGUUGCAACCCAAUUUAGAGUGGACUGGAUUUCUUGAUGUUUCAGUAAUACAUACAGUCCGUGUAGAAAGUUUCUUGGAGCAAGCUGAACACUCCCUAGGUGAGGGCAGAUCAUUUGAUUAUAUCAGUGUCACACCUCCCUACACUUCAGUCAAUUAUAGUAUGCUGAUGGAGCAACUUGGAAAAUCACCUUUGGUUGGAGAAGACUGUUUCAUUCUGGUGGAGUAUCCCCUCAAAACCUCAAUGGCAAAUUCUUGUGGACAUCUAAUAAAGAUAGCUGAUAGGCGAUUUGGCAGGACAAACUUGCUAAUAUAUGGGCCAGCAUGGGCACAAAAGAAGAGAACCAAGAAGUCCUUUGCUUGACCCGAGUAAACUUCAUCUAAAUGUGCCUAGAAGAGGAUUUUGUAAAGCUUGUUAGCAAUUGAGAGAUGGUUGGGUACUUUAUGACUUGCUUAAUGCUUGGUGGAGCAUCAGAUGUGAAGCAUCAAGAGUCUUUGAAGAGAUGUUGUCACAACCUUCUAUCAAGCAAGCUUUACCUACACUCAAUUAUUUCAACCAUCUGCUAUCCUUUGCUUGGAUGUCGUCGUUCAAAAUUGUAUGUACUUUGUCAUACUUUUCUCUGGGGACUGGUAAUAUGUAUCGUGCUUACCAUUGUUGCAUGCUUUGGAUGGGUAUUGAGAAUGGAGUUUCAACAGGCAUAGCAUGCCUUUUGAACUGGCAAUUCUAUGAAUACCUAUUAGAAGCAUUAAAAAAAGAUCACCGUGAGAUGGCCCAGAUGGAGGAUGGCGCUCUUUCUGUGAGAGUGACGCUUUUUUUUUUCCUCCUCUUUUUUGCAUGUAAGCCUUUUUGUUACCUGUAAUUGCAUUUAAAGGCCUUUUAUAUAUUGGCAAAUCUAUAUCUUACUCUAGAA